Molecule: ribosomal RNA, 500 nt
Filed under: uncultured bacterium
Lineage: Bacteria
Description: partial 16S ribosomal RNA
Rfam family: Bacterial small subunit ribosomal RNA
Source: RNAcentral
AUUGAACGCUGGCGGCAUGCCUUACACAUGCAAGUCGAACGGCAGCACGGAGCUUGCUCUGGUGGCGAGUGGCGAACGGGUGAGUAAUAUAUCGGAACGUACCCAAGAGUGGGGGAUAACGUAGCGAAAGUUACGCUAAUACCGCAUACGAUCUAAGGAUGAAAGCAGGGGAUCGCAAGACCUUGUGCUCCUGGAGCGGCCGAUAUCUGAUUAGCUAGUUGGUGAGGUAAAGGCUCACCAAGGCAUCGAUCAGUAGCUGGUCUGAGAGGACGACCAGCCACACUGGAACUGAGACACGGUCCAGACUCCUACGGGAGGCAGCAGUGGGGAAUUUUGGACAAUGGGGGCAACCCUGAUCCAGCAAUGCCGCGUGAGUGAAGAAGGCCUUCGGGUUGUAAAGCUCUUUUGUCAGGGAAGAAACGGUGAAGGCUAAUAUCCUUUGCUAAUGACGGUACCUGAAGAAUAAGCACCGGCUAACUACGUGCCAGCCGCCGCGGUAA